ACUCCUACGGGAGGCAGCAGUGGGGGAAUCUUCCACAAUGGGCGCAAGCCUGAUGGAGCAACACCGCGUGAGUGAAGAAGGGUUUCGGCUCGUAAAGCUCUGUUGUUAAAGAAGAACACGUAUGAGAGUAACUGUUCAUACGUUGACGGUAUUUAACCAGAAAGUCACGGCUAACUACGUGCCAGCAGCCGCGGUAAUACGUAGGUGGCAAGCGUUAUCCGGAUUUAUUGGGCGUAAAGAGAGUGCAGGCGGUUUUCUAAGUCUGAUGUGAAAGCCUUCGGCUUAACCGGAGAAGUGCAUCGGAAACUGGAUAACUUGAGUGCAGAAGAGGGUAGUGGAACUCCAUGUGUAGCGGUGGAAUGCGUAGAUAUAUGGAAGAACACCAGUGGCGAAGGCGGCUACCUGGUCUGCAACUGACGCUGAGACUCGAAAGCAUGGGUAGCGAACAGGAUUAGAUACCCUGGUAGGAUAGCG
This 474-nucleotide ribosomal RNA is filed under the name uncultured bacterium. RNAcentral's name for it is "bacterial SSU rRNA". It matches the Rfam family "Bacterial small subunit ribosomal RNA", at positions 335 to 801 of the family's 1533-position model. The record is from RNAcentral.